GUAUGUAUAAUAUAUAAAAGAAAUUGAUUGUUUUUGUUUGUGUACGAUGAUAAUCUAAAUAUAACCCAAAACUUUUCAUUAUUUGCAAUUUAACUAACUACUUUUUGAUUGUCAACUUUGUUCUCCUAUACUUUUCAUCUUUCGUAAAUUUUCGUUUUACAUUUUGUUCUGAAUUUUGAGAGUUAAAUCAGCGCAAGGUGCAUGUUGUUGUGGUCGCUGGCGGUAGCAUGGCAUUGCUGCUAUUUGCCACAGUUUUACGCCCCUACCGCAACGUGGGGGUUUAAUUCUAGUAGCUACUUAUUUGCUAAAUAACCACCGUAUUAAUAAGUGAAAUGAUAACCCUAUUUACAAACAUGUAUGUACAAUGAAUGGCAAGGUUUCAUAAUUUAUUAGAUUAGUGGUCUAGAUAUAAUUAGUUUAUAAUAGAGGGUAUUAAAAUGUAAUUUAGUCAUCUAUAUCAACUAUUGUAAUCCGGAAUUAUAAUUGAAUAAUACAAUUUUAUGACUUGAU
This 510-nucleotide long non-coding RNA is filed under the name Helianthus annuus (common sunflower). RNAcentral describes it as "hypothetical non coding rna". The record is from RNAcentral. Lineage: Eukaryota; Viridiplantae; Streptophyta; Magnoliopsida; Asterales; Asteraceae.